AAACAAUAAGUGGCAAUCCAGAGACCCCCACCACUGACAUGAAUGGAGACUACGGACCAACGGGACACUGCUGGAUCCAUGGUGGUCAAGAAGACCCUUGCCCAGGUGAAGACCCUUCCCCUGUACAAACGUAGUAACAGAAGAGGAUGACACAGCAGAUAUUAUAAUUAUAUGCAAAUUUCUAACCAAUCAUUGUAACUGGGAGUGUAUGACCUUGUAAUUUUUGUGUAUAAAUGUAAUGGUGAAAUUUACACAGGUGUGCUUGAUCUGUGGAGAUGACACCAAGCACCCAGUGCUGCAAUAAAGGAGUGCCUGCUUCUUAAUACUA
Molecule: long non-coding RNA, 328 nt
Organism: Falco peregrinus (peregrine falcon)
Lineage: Eukaryota; Metazoa; Chordata; Aves; Falconiformes; Falconidae
Exons: 2
Source: RefSeq, a predicted model, not a curated record